AUUGAACGCUGGCGGCAGGCCUAACACAUGCAAGUCGAACGGUAACAGGAAGCAGCUUGCUGCUUUGCUGACGAGUGGCGGACGGGUGAGUAAUGUCUGGGAAACUGCCUGAUGGAGGGGGAUAACUACUGGAAACGGUAGCUAAUACCGCAUAACGUCGCAAGACCAAAGAGGGGGACUUUCGGGCCUCUUGCCAUCGGAUGUGCCCAGAUGGGAUUAGCUAGUAGGUGGGGUAACGGCUCACCUAGGCGACGAUCCCUAGCUGGUCUGAGAGGAUGACCAGCCACACUGGAACUGAGACACGGUCCAGACUCCUACGGGAGGCAGCAGUGGGGAAUAUUGCACAAUGGGCGCAAGCCUGAUGCAGCCAUGCCGCGUGUAUGAAGAAGGCCUUCGGGUUGGAAAGUACUUUCAGCGGGGAGGAAGGGAGUAAAGUUAAUACCUUUGCUCAUUGACGUUACCCGCAGAAGAAGCACCGGCUAACUCCGUG
This 490-nucleotide ribosomal RNA is filed under the name uncultured bacterium. Its description in RNAcentral is "partial 16S ribosomal RNA". It matches the Rfam family "Bacterial small subunit ribosomal RNA", at positions 30 to 507 of the family's 1533-position model. The record is from RNAcentral.